Molecule: transfer RNA, 73 nt
Filed under: Mus musculus (house mouse)
Lineage: Eukaryota; Metazoa; Chordata; Mammalia; Rodentia; Muridae
Description: tRNA-Lys (CTT) (tRNA-Lys-CTT-4-1)
Rfam family: tRNA
About the family: Transfer RNA (tRNA) molecules are approximately 80 nucleotides in length. Their secondary structure includes four short double-helical elements and three loops (D, anti-codon, and T loops).
Source: RNAcentral
GCCCAGCUAGCUCAGUUGGUAGAGCGUGGGACUCUUAAUCCUAGGGUCGUGGGUUCAAACCCCACGUUGGGCG